UUUUCCAGUGUUGACUAAAAGCAAGCAGCAAGCUUGAAGCAUUACUUAACAGUGUAAUGAAAAACGUCAGUUCAAGCAAAUACUUUUUUUUUUAACAGAAUUUGUUUUCUUUGUUGUGUUGCAGAAAAAGGAACGGUGGCUGAGUUGCACAAGUGAACCAGGACGACACAAAAUUAAGUCAAAGAGGAAUGCUCAUUUUCCUAUUUUUUCACCCAGAGCCAUCUGCCGCGGUGUCUGCAAUGUAUUUCAGUCCUGACGAAAUCCCCCUUCCUCAGCGGUACCUCCGCACGCUGGCGUAAGGAUGAUGUGACAAGCGAAGCUGGCAAGUUGUUCCCACCUUUGUUGCCAAUUAUAAAGCAGUGUAAAGAGGCAAAUUCUGACAGCCUGUGUCCUUAGAGGGGUUUGAGUACUGAACUCGUAGUGAAAUCAUCAGCAGUGAGGCUCUUGAGCAUCCCUGGGGCUCUGGGCUGGGCUCUCUGCUCACCUUUUGCUCAAGUUGUCUUUCCCUGGCAUUCAUCACUUCUUUGCCUGACUCAGAUGUGUAUUUAAAGCUGCUGAUUAUUCAGCAGCAUAUAAACAUUUACUUGUAGAUACAGAGAGCACGGUUCCCUGUAAAGGGGAAUAAGCUUUCAGCUGGUUUGUUUUCUAAUCCUGGAGAAAUCUGCAAGGUCAGUGAGCCUGGCGUGUGUAAUGGAUCUGUUCAAGGCUGCCAAAUGUGUUGGGGGCUGUGGUCUGGAACUCCCAGUUUAUCUCAUUCCUUUGCUUUCUGCUGCUCAUUAAAAGAUCUA
RNAcentral lists this long non-coding RNA (788 nucleotides) under Junco hyemalis (dark-eyed junco). RNAcentral describes it as "lncRNA (ENSJHYG00000017464.1)". The record is from RNAcentral. Lineage: Eukaryota; Metazoa; Chordata; Aves; Passeriformes; Passerellidae.